GAUGAAGAACGUAGCGAAAUGCGAUAAGUAGUGUGAAUUGCAGAAUUCAGUGAAUCAUCGAAUCUUUGAACGCACAUUGCGCCCCUCGGUAUUCCGGGGGGCAUGCCUGUUCGAGCGUCAUUUAACCCCUCAAGCCUAGCUUGGUAUUGGGUGCUUGUCCCGCCUCUCGCGCGGCGACUCACCUCAAAGUCAUUGGCAGCCCGCAUCUCGCCGGCCGUGAGCGCAGCACAGACGCGCUCUUGGCAACGACGGAUCGGCUCUCCAAAAGCUUAUUUCAACCACUGACCUCGGAUCAGGUAGGGAUACCCGCUGAACUUAAGCAUAUCAAUAAGCGGAGGA
RNAcentral lists this unclassified non-coding RNA (339 nucleotides) under soil metagenome. RNAcentral's name for it is "partial contains 5.8S ribosomal RNA, internal transcribed spacer 2, and large subunit ribosomal RNA". The stretch from base 1 to 120 matches the Rfam family "5.8S ribosomal RNA", at positions 35 to 154 of the family's 154-position model. The record is from RNAcentral.